UCUAAUGUCAUAGGAGAACGAUUUUGCAAUUCUGAAUGAACGGGUUGCAAAACUAGAAAAUAAAAUGCUAUUACUGAAAUUUUAGAUUGUUUUCUUAUUUAGUUUUGUAAUUUGUAUGUUUCUGAUCAUAGUCUUGUUUUUAACAUUUUAAUAGGUGCUUUGAAUUGUAUUAAGCAUAUGAACAUUAUUGUAAAAGCUAGAUUCUUCAAUAAAAUUACUUUAUGUUCUUAUAUAUUAUGGCUA
Non-coding RNA from Arachis ipaensis, 243 nucleotides. Lineage: Eukaryota; Viridiplantae; Streptophyta; Magnoliopsida; Fabales; Fabaceae. The record is from RefSeq and is a predicted model, not a curated record.